Molecule: ribosomal RNA, 305 nt
Filed under: uncultured bacterium
Lineage: Bacteria
Description: bacterial SSU rRNA
Rfam family: Bacterial small subunit ribosomal RNA
Source: RNAcentral
GGCGCCUACGGGGCGCAGCAGUGAGGAAUAUUGGUCAAUGGGCGAGAGCCUGAACCAGCCAAGUCGCGUGAGGGAGUACUGCCCUAUGGGUUGUAAACCUCUUUUGUCGGGGAGCAAAGCGAACCACGUGUGGUUCAUUGAGAGUACCCGAAGAAAAAGCAUCGGCUAACUCCGUGCCAGCAGCCGCGGUAAUACGGAGGAUGCGAGCGUUAUCCGGAUUUAUUGGGUUUAAAGGGUGCGCAGGCGGAGGUGCAAGUCAGCGGUCAAAUUGCGGGGCUCAACCCCGUACUGCCGUUGAAACUGCA